CUACGGGGGGCAGCAGUGAGGAAUAUUGCACAAUGGGGGGAACCCUGAUGCAGCAACGCCGCGUGGAGGAUGACGCAUUUCGGUGUGUGAACUCCUUUUAUAUGUCAAGAAAAUGACGGUAGCAUAUGAAUAAGCACCGGCUAACUCCGUGCCAGCAGCCGCGGUAAUACGGAGGGUGCAAGCGUUACUCGGAAUCACUGGGCGUAAGGGACGCGUAGGCGGGUUGGAAAGUCAGGUGUGAAAUCCUACAGCUUAACUGUAGAACUGCACCUGAAACUUCUAAUCUAGAGUAUGGGAGGGGGAGAUGGAAUUAGUGGUGUAGGGGUAAAAUCCGUAGAUAUCACUAGGAAUACCUAAAGCGAAGGCGAUCUCCUGGAACAUUACUGACGCUAAGGCGUGAAAGCGUGGGGAGCAAACAGGAUUAGAUACCCGGGUAGUC
Molecule: ribosomal RNA, 439 nt
Filed under: uncultured bacterium
Lineage: Bacteria
Description: partial 16S ribosomal RNA
Rfam family: Bacterial small subunit ribosomal RNA
Source: RNAcentral